Pistacia vera is the source of this 230-nucleotide long non-coding RNA. RefSeq lists it as uncharacterized. The record is from RefSeq and is a predicted model, not a curated record. The transcript has 3 exons. Lineage: Eukaryota; Viridiplantae; Streptophyta; Magnoliopsida; Sapindales; Anacardiaceae.
AUGAUAUUUUUGAUGUUUAUGGGACACUUGAUGAACUCACUAUUUUUACAGAAAUUGUUAACAGAUGGGAUCAUGCGGCUAUUGAUCAACUGCCAGACUACAUGAAGAUAUGUUUUAAGGUUCUUGAUGAUAUCACUAAUGAAAUCAGCUACAAGGUGUACAAGGAGCAUGGCUUUAACCCUGUGCACUCACUAAGGAAAGCGUGGUCCAGUUUGUGCAACGCAUUUCUU